UCCUUCCCUCCAACAGCCUGCUUCAUGUCUUCCCACAGCAUGGACUAGAAUGCCCCCACCAACCAGCAGCUGCCCCUUUAACAGAUUUGGAUGGCCUUGAGUAAUAAAUUCUUUUGAAACCUUUAUUAAAACUGCAUUUCUGGUGUGGGUGUGUGUGGUGGUGCCUGGUGUGCAUCGUGGCUCAGGGGUGGGGUGGUAGGGUAGGGUAACUUUUUUUGUUUUUUGUUUUUUUGUUAUCAACAAACAGUUUUCAGAUACAAUAUUGUCUUGGUUGACUUAACUUCAUUCCAGACCAUCUAUUUUUAAAAGAAUUCCUCGCAGCUCCCCACAGUGGAAAGGCACAGGUACCGUGCAGGGAAAACCCCAAGGUCCAAAGUCCUGGGGAUGGGGGAGCCCCAGCCCCGCUCCAGCAGAGACAGCAAAAUCAAUUGUUGAUUAGAAUGAAACCGAAACUCAGUGGUUGAGCAAUUUCUCGGAAAUUACCUGUGGUGACAUUACCUGUUGGUACCUUUCCUGCUGCCCUUUGACUCUCAGAGCCCAGCAGACACAGGACAGGCUGGUGGUGUGGGGUGCUGUGCUCCCACAGUGGGUGUUUGGGGACAGCACCCCCUUUCUCUGUGUAGGGGGGGCAAAAACGGACCCUGCUCACAUUGGGGGCAAUAAUGGGGAGCAUCCACCAAGCCCUGGUCGAGGAAUGGGCCUGGGCAGAGUCUGAGGGUGCCGUGACCCUCCCGUACACAACAGGGACCCUCGCACUCGUCUGCCGUGACCCCACACUCUGGAACCCCUCUGGUACCGCGGCCGGGACCCCCACCUGUGUCCCGUGCAGCCCUUGCUGUGUCUGACCGCCCGAAUGGAGAAUCGAGCUCAGCCCGCUGCCUCCUGCCUGGGCGCGGCUGGGACGGGGCGGCCCCGGGGCGGGCACCGGGACCUUUCCAGUGCACCGGGAACCACGGGGCCGGUCCGGUGCUCCGGGAACUGCGGGACCAUUCCAGUGCACCCGGCACCGUGGGCAGGAGACUCUGCCAAGAUGUCCAAGAUAAAGCCAACUCCAGAGGAGGAGCCCAAGGAGAAGACACUUUUGGAUGAGAAAUCUGGGGAGUACACAACUCCUGGUGAUGAGCCCAAGGAGAGAAAUUCAGAUGAGAAAUCCUGGGAUGAGACAGAUCAUGGUGACAAACCCAAGGAUGGGGAUGGUCCCGAGGAUGGUGCUGGUGGUGGUACUGAGGAUGGUCCUGGAGGUGGUCCUGAGGAUGGUCCUGGUGGUGGUCCUGGAGGUGGUCCUGACAGUGGUCCCAACAAUGGUCCUGACGAUGGUUCCAAAAAUGGGGAUAAUCCAGGUAAAGAUCAUGGGAAGUUUGGGUGAGACAUCAGGGAAAAAAUUCUUCACUGAAAGACUGAUUGGGCACUGACAUUAUCUGCCCAUGGAGGUGGUGGAGUCACCAUCCCUGGACGUGUUUAAAAAGGCACUGGAUGAGGCUCUCAGUGCCAUGGUUAAGUUGCUGAAGGGGUGUGAUGUGACAGGUUGGAUUUGAUCUCAAAGGUCUUUUCCAGCCUAGUUCAUUCUGUGAUUCUUUGUGGCUUCCCAAGGGAAGCCAGACAGAUGUCUGACCCCAAGGUCCCUGCCAGGCAGCCUGGCAGGCACUGGGAAGCCCCAGCAGCCUGGGCACCUCUGAAGAGCUGUAGGAGUGAGAGGUGCCCCGAAAGCAGAAGCGCAUUGCAGGAGGGGCUGCAGUGGUGGUGGGUGUGCAGGUACCUGCUGAGUGCCCUGGGAAUUGCUGUGCUCCAGGAAGGGAUUCCAGCCCUGCUCCCUCUCCCCCUGCACAGGGAAGGGCUGGCAAGGCAGUAGUGAGUUUGUUAUGAACUCUGUUUGAUUGACCUUGUG
RNAcentral lists this long non-coding RNA (1885 nucleotides) under Junco hyemalis (dark-eyed junco). RNAcentral describes it as "lncRNA (ENSJHYG00000006208.1)". The record is from RNAcentral. Lineage: Eukaryota; Metazoa; Chordata; Aves; Passeriformes; Passerellidae.